GCCUCCCAGACUCUGGGCACACUCCAGGUGGAAGGGGGCUCGGAGUCGGCAUUCCAGGUAGAGGGAGCAGCAUGGGCACAAGCCCAGAGGCACAAAACAUACUACAUCGUGAUUAAACGUGAUUUAAUCUAUUCAGAAGGCAUUUGGGGGGAUUUUCCAGGUUUGUGUGACAGUGUUGUGUGCAUAACUGAGUUUCUGUUCGGCACUACGCUAGGUGUCCACGUCGAAGGAAGGGUUGGAGCACAGAUGACUGCAUUACUAUUUUCCUGGGGUGCAUUUCACUUCCCCUUCUGCCCUGUUCGGAAACCUUUAGGGACUCGCCCAUGUUUACCUAGAGUGUGCUGUUGUAUGGAGAGACAAGGAUAGAGAGUUUGUUGUUUAAAAAUCUCUUUUAAAAAGAUACUGCUUAAAAUAAAUGGAAGCACCAUUGGUUCUCAUUUUUUGAGGUAAUUAUGUCAUUGCAGACACUGAAUUAGUGAAUACUGAGCCAUUGCUCCUGGAGAAAUAUGAGGUUAGGUUCUUGUGAGCCUCUGGUCACAAUAUAUUCAUCAGUCAAUCAAUACAUAACCUUGUUUUAGAUGUCUAGUCUAUUUAAAGACACCUUAUUUAAUAUAUAUUAUUGACUGCUUAACACUGAGUUCAUGGCCAACAGCACUGUAACUCAUGCCUGCAUGAUGCUUAUCUAACGCGUGUAUUUUCUCCUUUGGGCACAUCACAGCCUUCUUGUGCUUGGGAACACUGGAUGGCAUUCAGCGUUAUAACUGGGGCCAUUUUAAACAGCAAAAUCACCAAUAAAAUGCAAAAAAAAAUGUAGCAUUAAGCCUAUAGCUGACCCAUGAACAAGGUCAGGGGUUGGGACCCCACCCCUCCCCCUAUGCAUCUGAAAACUCACAUGUAACUUUUGACUCCCCCAAGACUUAACUACUUAGAGCCUACUGUUGCCGAUAACAGAAGCAGUCAUUUAGCAUAUGUAUGUUACGUGUAUUAUAUACUGUAUUUUUACAUUAAGGUCAGCUAGAGAAAAGAAAAUGUGAAGAAAAUCAUAAGGAAGAGAAAAUACAUUUAAGGUACUGGACUGUAUUCACUGAAAAAAAAAAUUGCUUUUAGGCAGACCACACACUUCAAACCUAUGUUCGUUGAGGGUCAAGUGUACUAUGAAAAGGACACUUGCUUGUAGUGUGAGAGCUGAAACAAGAAAGCAGAGCAUCACCUGGUUUUACUUCAGCAGAGGGAACGUGUGGAUCAGGCAACUCAAAAUUUUUACUGGUGUGUGCUUGUGUAGGAAUGACCAUGUAAGUGUCCCAAGUAUUGAUUUUAAACUCAGAAACAAAUCUUAGCAAGUAGGCAAAUUUGCAAAUAUGGAAUCUUUAAAUAAUGAAGUUCGACUUUAUUUUGUUUUCAGAAUGUCACUUUCUGAGGCACCUGGGUGGCUCUAAUGGUUAAGCAUCCAACGCUUGACUCAGCUUAGGUCUUGAGCUCACAACCCUGAGUUGUGACCACCACAUUGGGCUCCACACUGGGUAUGGAGCCUACUUAAAAAAAAAAAAAAAAAAAGAAUGUCCCUUUUGUUCAGUUUCAAGCUUUAAUUUGGGAACAGAGGUAGACUGAUUACAUUAAUGGCCUCUAUGCUGGUCUCUCAGUAUUAGGCUUUCUGCCUUGUAACCCCUGGUCCCAUCCUACUUCAACACCAGGCUUAGCCUUGUGACUUUGCUUGACCAAUGGGAUGCUAACAAACCUGGUGCAAGCAGAAGUUUGCAAAACACAUGCACACCCCCACUUUCCCUCUUGGGAAAGACAUGUGGGGAUGGCCUGCAAGAGGGUGUGAGAUGCAGGUGGAAGAGAGUAGAGUUGUCUCAUAAAAGGCCAGUUAGACCAGCUGGCCUGCUAGCCGACCACAGCUGCAGGAGGAAAGCCCAGCUAAGGUCAGCCAAACUUGGCUUAGG
Molecule: long non-coding RNA, 1943 nt
Filed under: Canis lupus familiaris (dog)
Lineage: Eukaryota; Metazoa; Chordata; Mammalia; Carnivora; Canidae
Description: lncRNA (ENSCAFG00030002789.1)
Source: RNAcentral